GACGAACGCUGGCGGCGUGCUUAACACAUGCAAGUCGAACGGAAAGGCCUGCUUUCCCUUGUGGAUUGCGGGUACUCGAGUGGCGAACGGGUGAGUAACACGUGAGUGAUCUGCCCCCAACUUGGGUAUAAGCCUGGGAAACUGGGUCUAAUUCCCGAUAGGACUGCAGGGUGGUGCCUGUGGUGGAAAACGAUUUUCUAGUGGUUGGGGAUGAGCUCGCGGCCUAUCAGCUUGUUGGUGGGGUAAUGGCCUACCAAGGCGGCGACGGGUAGCCGGCCUGAGAGGGUGGACGGCCACAUUGAGACUGGGAUACGGCCCAGACGGCUACGGGAGGCAGCAGUGGGGAAUAUUGCACAAUGGGCGGAAGCCUGAUGCAGCGACGCCGCGUGGGGGAUGACGGCCUUCGAGUUGUAAACUCCUUUCGACCGCGAGGAAGCCACCUGGUUGGAAGGGUGGUGACGGUAGUGGUAGAAGAAGCACCGGCUAACUACGUG
This 494-nucleotide ribosomal RNA is filed under the name uncultured bacterium. RNAcentral describes it as "partial 16S ribosomal RNA". It matches the Rfam family "Bacterial small subunit ribosomal RNA", at positions 28 to 507 of the family's 1533-position model. The record is from RNAcentral.